Molecule: ribosomal RNA, 252 nt
Filed under: uncultured bacterium
Lineage: Bacteria
Description: partial 16S ribosomal RNA
Rfam family: Bacterial small subunit ribosomal RNA
Source: RNAcentral
GCAAGUCGAGCGGUAACACAAGGGAGCUUGCUCCUGAGGUGACGAGCGGCGGACGGGUGAGUAAUGCCUAGAUAUCUGCCUAGUCGUGGGGGAUAACAGUUGGAAACGACUGCUAAUACCGCAUACGCCCUACGGGGGAAAGGAGGGGACCUUCGGGCCUUUCGCGAUUAGAUGAGUCUAGGUGGGAUUAGCUAGUUGGUGAGGUAAUGGCUCACCAAGGCGACGAUCCCUAGCUGGUUUGAGAGGAUGAUC